Molecule: ribosomal RNA, 497 nt
Filed under: uncultured bacterium
Lineage: Bacteria
Description: partial 16S ribosomal RNA
Rfam family: Bacterial small subunit ribosomal RNA
Source: RNAcentral
GAUGAACGCUGGCGGCGUGCCUAAUACAUGCAAGUCGAGCGAACAGACGAGAAGCUUGCUCCUCUGACGUUAGCGGCGGACGGGUGAGUAACACGUGGAUAACCUACCUAUAAGACUGGGAUAACUUCGGGAAACCGGAGCUAAUACCGGAUAAUAUUUUGAACCGCAUGGUUCAAUAGUGAAAGACGGUUUUGCUGUCACUUAUAGAUGGAUCCGCGCCGCAUUAGCUAGUUGGUAAGGUAACGGCUUACCAAGGCAACGAUGCGUAGCCGACCUGAGAGGGUGAUCGGCCACACUGGAACUGAGACACGGUCCAGACUCCUACGGGAGGCAGCAGUAGGGAAUCUUCCGCAAUGGGCGAAAGCUUGACGGAGCAACGCCGCGUGAGUGAUGAAGGUCUUCGGAUCGUAAAACUCUGUUAUUAGGGAAGAACAAAUGUGUAAGUAACUAUGCACGUCUUGACGGUACCUAAUCAGAAAGCCACGGCUAACUACGUG